Molecule: ribosomal RNA, 417 nt
Filed under: uncultured bacterium
Lineage: Bacteria
Description: bacterial SSU rRNA
Rfam family: Bacterial small subunit ribosomal RNA
Source: RNAcentral
UGCCAGCAGCCGCGGUAAUACAGAGGGUGCGAACGUUGCUCGGAAUUACUGGGCGUAAAGCGCGUGUAGGCGGGACUGCAAGUCAGAUGUGAAAUCCCCGGGCUCAACCCGGGAACUGCACCUGAAACUGCAGACCUUGAGUACUGGAGAGGGCGGCGGAAUUCCUGGUGUAGAGGUGAAAUUCGUAGAUAUCAGGAGGAACACCGGUGGCGAAGGCGGCCGCCUGGACAGUAACUGACGCUGAGACGCGAAAGCGUGGGGAGCAAACAGGAUUAGAUACCCUGGUAGUCCACGCCGUAAACGAUGGGUGCUAGGUGUCUCGGGUAUUGACCCCUGAGGUGCCGUAGCUAACGCGUUAAGCACCCCGCCUGGGAAGUACGGUCGCAAGACUAAAACUUAAAGGAAUUGGCGGGGGAC